This 74-nucleotide transfer RNA is filed under the name Candidatus Thorarchaeota archaeon SMTZ1-83. RNAcentral describes it as "tRNA-His". It matches the Rfam family "tRNA". From Rfam's summary of the family: Transfer RNA (tRNA) molecules are approximately 80 nucleotides in length. Their secondary structure includes four short double-helical elements and three loops (D, anti-codon, and T loops). Further hydrogen bonds mediate the characteristic L-shaped molecular structure. tRNAs have two regions of fundamental functional importance: the anti-codon, which is responsible for specific mRNA codon recognition, and the 3' end, to which the tRNAs corresponding amino acid is attached (by aminoacyl-tRNA synthetases). tRNAs cope with the degeneracy of the genetic code in two manners: having more than one tRNA (with a specific anti-codon) for a particular amino acid; and 'wobble' base-pairing, i.e. permitting non-standard base-pairing at the 3rd anti-codon position. The record is from RNAcentral. Lineage: Archaea; Promethearchaeati; Candidatus Thorarchaeota. RNAcentral also lists the same sequence under 1 other name.
GCCCGUGUGGUGUAAUGGUAACAUAGAGGACUGUGGAUCCUCUGCCGCGGGUUCGAUUCCCGCCACGGGCCCCA